GUUUCGCCUUGAUAAACCUCAUAGGUUUCCAAAACCUAUGAGGUUUGAAUAACAACAAAUCAA
RNAcentral lists this unclassified non-coding RNA (63 nucleotides) under Chryseobacterium formosense. RNAcentral describes it as "Flavo-1 RNA". The record is from RNAcentral. Lineage: Bacteria; Pseudomonadati; Bacteroidota; Flavobacteriia; Flavobacteriales; Weeksellaceae.